UAAACUUGGAAUUUUCUUUGUCAUCUUCUACCCACAAGCAAUUAUUUAACUUCCUUCUUUUAAAAGGUAACCUUGAUGAGGAGGAGGAGGAUGACGAGUCACUAUAUCUCAACCCGGCUCGGAUUCUGACUCGGAGCUGUGGUAUCACUUUCGGCGGCUUCCUCCGAUGACUCUCCGCUGUUAACGGUUGCAUUAGCCGAUAACACCCGACAAUUUUAUCUUUG
Molecule: unclassified non-coding RNA, 224 nt
Filed under: Hevea brasiliensis (rubber tree)
Lineage: Eukaryota; Viridiplantae; Streptophyta; Magnoliopsida; Malpighiales; Euphorbiaceae
Source: RNAcentral